This 275-nucleotide ribosomal RNA is filed under the name uncultured bacterium. RNAcentral's name for it is "partial 16S ribosomal RNA". It matches the Rfam family "Bacterial small subunit ribosomal RNA", at positions 524 to 793 of the family's 1533-position model. The record is from RNAcentral.
GACGAACCGUGCGAACGUUGUUCGGAAUCACUGGGCUUAAAGGGCGCGUAGGCGGGCUAUCAAGUCCGGGGUGAAAUCCUCCAGCUCAACUGGAGAACGGCCUCGGAUACUGAUGGUCUCGAGGGGGAUAGGGGCACACGGAACUGUGGGUGGAGCGGUGAAAUGCGUUGAUAUCCAUAGGAACUCCGGUGGCGAAAGCGGUGUGCUGGAUCCCUUCUGACGCUGAGGCGCGAAAGCCAGGGGAGCCGGAAACGGGAUUAGAAACCCCGGGAUAG